GGCACACGGGUGUAAUAACGCGUGGGAACGUGCCCAUCCGGGUUCGGGAUAACCCAGGAAACUUGGGCUAAUACCUGGAUACGCCCUUUUGGGGAAAGAUUGAUUGCCGAUGGAUCGGCCCGCGUCUGAUUAGCUUGUUGGUGAGGUAACGGCUCACCAAGGCGACGAUCAGUAGCUGGUCUGAGAGGCAUGACUCAAGCCUGGGACUUGGGCACUGAGCCCACGGGCCAAGCACCUCAAUACGGGAGGCAGAGUGGGUGAAUAUUGGACAAUGGGCGCAGCCUGAUCCAGCCAUGCCGCGUGAGUGAUGCAGGCCCUAGGGUGGUACAAGCUCUUUCACCCACGAUCGAUCAUGACGGUACGUGGGAGAACGAAGGCCCCGGUCUAAGCUUCGUGCCAGCCGCCGCGG
RNAcentral lists this ribosomal RNA (409 nucleotides) under uncultured bacterium. RNAcentral's name for it is "bacterial SSU rRNA". It matches the Rfam family "Bacterial small subunit ribosomal RNA", at positions 97 to 520 of the family's 1533-position model. The record is from RNAcentral.